RNAcentral lists this ribosomal RNA (406 nucleotides) under uncultured bacterium. Its description in RNAcentral is "bacterial SSU rRNA". It matches the Rfam family "Bacterial small subunit ribosomal RNA", at positions 976 to 1381 of the family's 1533-position model. The record is from RNAcentral.
UAGCCUUGACAUACUACAGAAUUUGACAGAGAUGUUGGAGUGCCUUCGGGAGCUGUAAUACAGGUGCUGCACGGCUGUCGUCAGCUCGUGUCGUGAGAUGUUGGGUUAAGUCCCGCAACGAGCGCAACCCUCGUCCUUAGUUACUAACGGUUCGGCCGAGGACUCUAAGGAGACUGCCUUCGUAAGGAGGAGGAAGGUGAGGACGACGUCAAGUCAUCAUGGCCCUUACGGCUAGGGCAACACACGUGCUACAAUGGUUAGGACAAUGAGAAGCGAUACCGCGAGGUGGAGCAAAUCUAUAAACCUAAUCUCAGUUCGGAUAGCAGUCUGCAACUCGACUGCUUGAAGCUGGAAUCACUAGUAAUCGUAAAUCAGCUAUGUUACGGUGAAUACGUUCCGCGGGUCU